UCCGGAAUUAUUGGGCGUAAAGAGCUCGUAGGCGGUUUGUCGCGUCUGCUGUGAAAACCUAAGGCUCAACCUUGGGCUUGCAGUGGGUACGGGCAGACUAGAGUGCGGUAGGGGUGACUGGAAUUCCUGGUGUAGCGGUGGAAUGCGCAGAUAUCAGGAGGAACACCGAUGGCGAAGGCAGGUCACUGGGCCGCAACUGACGCUGAGGAGCGAAAGCAUGGGGAGCGAACAGG
Molecule: ribosomal RNA, 233 nt
Filed under: uncultured bacterium
Lineage: Bacteria
Description: partial 16S ribosomal RNA
Rfam family: Bacterial small subunit ribosomal RNA
Source: RNAcentral